Etheostoma spectabile (orangethroat darter) is the source of this 229-nucleotide long non-coding RNA. RefSeq lists it as uncharacterized. The record is from RefSeq and is a predicted model, not a curated record. NCBI's taxonomy places the organism in Eukaryota, Metazoa, Chordata, Actinopteri, Perciformes, Percidae. The transcript has 2 exons.
GACUUUAAAGGGGCGCUACGCAGCUUUGGCCAUUUCUUUGCUUUUUGCUGGCAGGUUUCUCCAUAGAGCUCCCCCUACAGCUUCAGAAUAUAUAUUUGGCAGCUCUUAUGUUUACUUGUGUCUGAGCCCUCCCUUGGUCAAUCUGCUGUUUCCUCUUUCUCUGUUCCACUGACAAUGCUUUCCUAGCUUUCUGCUUCUUUUUUUGCUGGCUCAGCCAUGAUGAUAAUGU